GACGAACGCUGGCGGCGUGCCUAAUACAUGCAAGUUGAGCGCUGAAGGUUGGUACUUGUACCAACUGGAUGAGCAGCGAACGGGUGAGUAACGCGUGGGGAAUCUGCCUUUGAGCGGGGGACAACAUUUGGAAACGAAUGCUAAUACCGCAUAAAAACUUUAAACACAAGUUUUAAGUUUGAAAGAUGCAAUUGCAUCGCUCAAAGAUGAUCCCGCGUUGUAUUAGCUAGUUGGUGAGGUAAAGGCUCACCAAGGCGAUGAUACAUAGCCGACCUGAGAGGGUGAUCGGCCACAUUGGGACUGAGACACGGCCCAAACUCCUACGGGAGGCAGCAGUAGGGAAGCUUCGGCAAUGGACGAAAGUCUGACCGAGCAACGCCGCGUGAGUGAAGAAGGUUUUCGGAUCGUAAAACUCUGUUGGUAGAGAAGAACGUUGGUGAGAGUGGAAAGCUCAUCAAGUGACGGUAACUACCCAGAAAGGGACGGCUAACUACGUG
Molecule: ribosomal RNA, 497 nt
Filed under: uncultured bacterium
Lineage: Bacteria
Description: partial 16S ribosomal RNA
Rfam family: Bacterial small subunit ribosomal RNA
Source: RNAcentral